RNAcentral lists this ribosomal RNA (216 nucleotides) under Glomeromycotina sp. RNAcentral describes it as "partial small subunit ribosomal RNA". The stretch from base 40 to 216 matches the Rfam family "Eukaryotic small subunit ribosomal RNA", at positions 686 to 864 of the family's 1831-position model. The record is from RNAcentral. Lineage: Eukaryota; Fungi; Glomeromycota.
GGGCCAGUAGGUUGGUCGUGCCACCGGUACGUACUGGUCUCACUGAUUCCUCCUUCCUGAAGAACCGUAAUGCCAUUAAUUUGGUGUUGCGGGGAAACAGGACUGUUACUUUGAAAAAAUUAGAGUGUUUAAAGCAAGCUAACGCUUGAAUACAUUAGCAUGGAAUAAUGAAAGAGGACGAUCGAUCCUAUUUUGUUGGUUUCUAGGAUUGACGUA